AACGAACGCUGGCGGCAUGCCUAACACAUGCAAGUCGAACGAGACCUUCGGGUCUAGUGGCGCACGGGUGCGUAACGCGUGGGAAUCUGCCCUUGGGUUCGGAAUAACAGUUAGAAAUGACUGCUAAUACCGGAUAAUGUCUUCGGACCAAAGAUUUAUCGCCCAGGGAUGAGCCCGCGUAGGAUUAGCUAGUUGGUGAGGUAAAGGCUCACCAAGGCGACGAUCCUUAGCUGGUCUGAGAGGAUGAUCAGCCACACUGGGACUGAGACACGGCCCAGACUCCUACGGGAGGCAGCAGUGGGAAUAUUGGACAAUGGGCGAAAGCCUGGAUCCAGCAAUGCCGCGUGAGUGAUGAGGCCUUAGGGUUGUAAAGCUCUUUUACCCGGGAUGAUAAUGACAGUACCGGGAGAAUAAGCCCCGGG
This 422-nucleotide ribosomal RNA is filed under the name uncultured bacterium. RNAcentral describes it as "bacterial SSU rRNA". It matches the Rfam family "Bacterial small subunit ribosomal RNA", at positions 29 to 497 of the family's 1533-position model. The record is from RNAcentral.